UCGCUAAGUAUUUGUCUCUCCUACUUAGGGUGACCAAACCCUUAAUACAUUUAUACAAACAAAGCUGCUUUAAAAACGGAGAAGCAUCGAUGGAGGCGUUGGAGCUGGAGCUGGAAGAAGUGGAGUCCCAGAUCCGCGCGCUGGUGGUAAGACGGUCGCGGCUACGGGAACGGCUUCUA
This is a non-coding RNA of Danio rerio (zebrafish), 179 nucleotides long. The record is from RefSeq and is a predicted model, not a curated record. Lineage: Eukaryota; Metazoa; Chordata; Actinopteri; Cypriniformes; Danionidae.